GCGGCGGACGGGUGAGUAACACGUGGGUAACCUGCCUGUAAGACUGGGAUAACUCCGGGAAACCGGGGCUAAUACCGGAUAGUUCUUUUCCUCGCAUGAGGAAAAGUGGAAAGGCGGCUUCGGCUGCCACUUACAGAUGGACCCGCGGCGCAUUAGCUAGUUGGUGAGGUAACGGCUCACCAAGGCAACGAUGCGUAGCCGACCUGAGAGGGUGAUCGGCCACACUGGGACUGAGACACGGCCCAGACUCCUACGGGAGGCAGCAGUAGGGAAUCUUCCGCAAUGGACGAGAGUCUGACGGAGCAACGCCGCGUGAGUGAUGAAGGUUUUCGGAUCGUAAAGCUCUGUUGUUAGGGAAGAACAAGUGCCGUUCGAAUAGGGCGGCACCUUGACGGUGCCUAACCAGAAAGCCACGGCUAACUACGUGCCAGCAGCCGCGGUAAUACGUAUGUGGCAAGCGUUGUCCGGAAUUAUUGGGCGUAAAGCGCGCGCAGGCGGUCUCUUAAGUCUGAUGUGAAAGCCCACGGCU
Molecule: ribosomal RNA, 529 nt
Filed under: Bacillus sp. CH349b_12T
Lineage: Bacteria; Bacillati; Bacillota; Bacilli; Caryophanales; Bacillaceae
Description: bacterial SSU rRNA
Rfam family: Bacterial small subunit ribosomal RNA
Source: RNAcentral